Molecule: non-coding RNA, 24 nt
Filed under: Arabidopsis thaliana (thale cress)
Lineage: Eukaryota; Viridiplantae; Streptophyta; Magnoliopsida; Brassicales; Brassicaceae
Source: RNAcentral
UCAUUCUGUUCAAUGGAAGAGGUA